RNAcentral lists this long non-coding RNA (346 nucleotides) under Phaseolus vulgaris (common bean). Its description in RNAcentral is "long non-coding RNA (PVUL_LNC001005)". Lineage: Eukaryota; Viridiplantae; Streptophyta; Magnoliopsida; Fabales; Fabaceae. The record is from RNAcentral.
GCACAGGAUGUAUGCUAGAAUGAAGGAGCUGAAGUGCCAGCCCAAUACGUUGACUUAUAAUAUAUUGAUGAGGAUGUUUGCUGAGUCGAAAUCUACUGAUAUGGUUCUGAAAAUGAAGAAGGAAAUGGAUGAGAAUCAGGUUGAACCUAAUGUAAACACUUACCGGAUUUUGAUUUCGAUGUUUUGUGAAAUGAAGCACUGGAACAAUGCUUACAAGUUGGUGAAGGAAAUGGUUGAAGAAAAAUGCCUAAGACCGAAUCUGUCCGUUUAUGAAACUGUUCUGGAGCUGCUCAGAAACGCUGGACAGUUGAAAAAGCAUGAAGAAUUGGUGGAUAAGAUGGUUGCG